UGGGGAAUAUUGCACAAUGGGCGAAAGCCUGAUGCAGCGACGCCGCGUGAGGGAUGACGGCCUUCGGGUUGUAAACCUCUUUCAGCAGGGACGAAGCGCAAGUGACGGUACCUGCAGAAGAAGCACCGGCUAACUACGUGCCAGCAGCCGCGGUAAUACGUAGGGUGCAAGCGUUGGCCGGAAUUACUGGGCGUAAAGAGUUCGUAGGCGGUUUGUCGAGUCGUUUGUGAAAACCAGCAGCUCAACUGCUGGCUUGCAGGAGAUACGGGCAGACUUGAGUACUGCAGGGGAGACUGGAAUUCCUGGUGUAGCGGUGAAAUGAGCAGAUAUCAGGAGGAACACCGGUGGCGAAGGCGGGUCUCUGGGCAGUAACUGACGCUGAGGAACGAAAGCGUGGGUAGCGAACAGG
This 409-nucleotide ribosomal RNA is filed under the name bacterium. RNAcentral's name for it is "partial 16S ribosomal RNA". It matches the Rfam family "Bacterial small subunit ribosomal RNA", at positions 355 to 776 of the family's 1533-position model. The record is from RNAcentral.